RNAcentral lists this long non-coding RNA (415 nucleotides) under Gossypium barbadense (sea-island cotton). RNAcentral describes it as "long non-coding RNA (GBAR_LNC002570)". Lineage: Eukaryota; Viridiplantae; Streptophyta; Magnoliopsida; Malvales; Malvaceae. The record is from RNAcentral.
CUCUAGUUUGUAAUUUUAAUUUUUGGAGGAAGAUUAAGGUUCCACAAUCUCUUGUAAAUUUUUUUGUAGAUUGGUUGUAUUUGAGUCUGUCCAUUAUGUAAAAGGCACCUACGUCCACUAUGAACAGUAUACUCCCUAUUCGGCUCACAGCUCCAGAUUAAGAGACCCUCAUGCGGAUGCAUAGACAGUGGGAUACAUAAAAUCCUUUCUUCAUCCACCUCCUCAAAGGUAUUUCAAAUCAACUCAACUUUCCACUUUCUUGAAUUAACAUUAAUCAAAACUACUACUGUCAGAAGCCCUGAAUUUACAUUCAUACUCUGAACUCUGAAAUCUUCACUGCUAGGUACCCACGUGUCACCCCAGAUAGAGACAUUUUUUCCGUCCCCAAUCCUUCAGCCCAAACCCUUUAAAGAAG